Molecule: transfer RNA, 69 nt
Filed under: human gut metagenome
Rfam family: tRNA
About the family: Transfer RNA (tRNA) molecules are approximately 80 nucleotides in length. Their secondary structure includes four short double-helical elements and three loops (D, anti-codon, and T loops). Further hydrogen bonds mediate the characteristic L-shaped molecular structure. tRNAs have two regions of fundamental functional importance: the anti-codon, which is responsible for specific mRNA codon recognition, and the 3' end, to which the tRNAs corresponding amino acid is attached (by aminoacyl-tRNA synthetases). tRNAs cope with the degeneracy of the genetic code in two manners: having more than one tRNA (with a specific anti-codon) for a particular amino acid; and 'wobble' base-pairing, i.e. permitting non-standard base-pairing at the 3rd anti-codon position.
Source: RNAcentral
GCCUGUAGCUCAGCGGUUAGAGCAGAGGACUCAUAAUCCUUUGGUCGAGAGUUCAAAUCUCUCUGGGCC